This 253-nucleotide ribosomal RNA is filed under the name uncultured bacterium. Its description in RNAcentral is "partial 16S ribosomal RNA". It matches the Rfam family "Bacterial small subunit ribosomal RNA", at positions 524 to 776 of the family's 1533-position model. The record is from RNAcentral.
UACGUAGGGGGCAAGCGUUAUCCGGAUUUACUGGGUGUAAAGGGGGCGCAGACGGCGAUGCAAGCCAGGAGUGAAAGCCCGGGGCCCAACCCCGGGACUGCUCUUGGAACUACGUGGCUGGAGUGCAGGAGGGGCAGGCGGAAUUCCUGGUGUAGCGGUGAAAUGCGUAGAUAUCAGGAGGAACACCGGUGGCGAAGGCGGCCUGCUGGACUGCAACUGACGUUGAGGCCCGAAAGCGUGGGGAGCAAACAGG